GAUGAACGCUGGCGGCGUGCCUAAUACAUGCAAGUCGAGCGAACGGACGAGAAGCUUGCUUUUCUGGUGUUAGCGGCGGACGGGUGAGUAACACGUGGAUAACCUACCUAUAAGACUGGGAUAACUUCGGGAAACCGGAGCUAAUACCGGAUAAUAUUUUGAAUCGCAUGGUUCAAAAGUGAAAGACGGUAUUGCAGCCAUACAUAGAUGGCUUCCCUUUUCAUUAGUUAGUUGGUAAGGUAACGGCUUACCAAGGCAACGAUGCAUACCCGACCUGAGAGGGGGCUCGACCACCCGGGAACUGGGCCCGGGUCCAGACUCCUAGGGGAGGCGCCAGUGGGGAAUCUUCCGCAAUGAGCGAAGGCCUGACGGGGCAAGGCCGCGUAGUUGAUAAAGGUCUUCGGUUCGUAAAACUCUGUUAUUGGGGAGAAACAUAUGUGUAAGUAACUGUGCACAUCUUGACGGUACCUAAUCAGAAAGCAACGGCUAACUACGUG
Molecule: ribosomal RNA, 497 nt
Filed under: uncultured bacterium
Lineage: Bacteria
Description: partial 16S ribosomal RNA
Rfam family: Bacterial small subunit ribosomal RNA
Source: RNAcentral